GGAGUGCUUGCACUCUGUGAAACAAGAUACAGGCUAGCGGCGGACGGGUGAGUAACACGUGGGUAACCUGCCCAAGAGAUCGGGAUAACACCUGGAAACAGAUGCUAAUACCGGAUAACAACAGAUGAUGCCUAUCAACUGUUUAAAAGAUGGUUCUGCUAUCACUCAUGGAUGGACCUGCGGUGCAUUAGCUAGUUGGUAGGGUAACGGCCUACCAAGGCGAUGAUGCAUAGCCGAGUUGAGAGACUGAUCGGCCACAUUGGGACUGAGACACGGCCCAAACUCCUACGGGAGGCAGCAGUAGGGAAUCUUCCACAAUGGACGCAAGUCUGAUGGAGCAACGCCGCGUGAGUGAAGAAGGGUUUCGGCUCGUAAAGCUCUGUUGUUGGUGAAGAA
Molecule: ribosomal RNA, 396 nt
Filed under: uncultured Lactobacillus sp.
Lineage: Bacteria; Bacillati; Bacillota; Bacilli; Lactobacillales; Lactobacillaceae
Description: bacterial SSU rRNA
Rfam family: Bacterial small subunit ribosomal RNA
Source: RNAcentral